UUUUUUUUUUUUUUUUGCCACCCCACCCCAUAUGGAGUUCCUGGGCUAAAGAUCAGAUCUGAGCCACAGUUACAACGUGCAACGCUGAUCUGGGUUGGGGAUCAAACCUGCGUCCCAGUGAAUUUGGCUAUUAUGAAUAAUGCUUCUAUGAAUAUUUUCACAUAACGAUCUGCCAGUAUCAUACUGUCUUAAUUACUGUAGCUUUGUAGGAAGUUUUUGAAUUGGGAAGUGUAAGCCCUCAAACUUCGUACUUUUUCAAGAUUGUUUUGACUAUUCUGAGUCCUUUGCAUUUGCAGAUGAAUCUUAGGACCACUUUGUUCAUUUCUGCUACAAAGGAUGGUGCAAUUUUUUUUUUUUUUGGUCUUUUUAGGGCCUCACCCAUGGCAUAUGGAGGUUCCCAGGCUAGGGGGGGUCGAAUGAGAGCUGUAGCCUCUGGCCUACACCAUAGCCAUAGCAACUUGGGAUCCGAGCUGCAUCUGUGACCUACACCGCAGUUCACGGCAAUGCAGGAUCCUUAACCCACUGAGCGAGGCCAGGGAUCCAACCCUCAACCUCAUGGAUUCUAGUCGGGUUCGUUACUGCUGAGCCACAACCGGAACUCCCUGACAUGUAAGGACUAAGAUGGGAAGAGAGAGUAGGAGCUUGAUAGGAAAAGGGGUAGAGAAGGGGAAAGAUGUGGGUAGAGGAAGGAGACCUGGGAAAACCUAGAGUGAAACAAAGCAAAGCACAGCAUAUUCAAGGAACUGAAAAAAGCAGAAAUGAGGUUGGAAAGGCCGGCGCGGGCAGGAUGGACUCAGUGGGGUCGGGGGGACUGGCCUUUAUCUGGAAGCCCUGGAAGGACGGUGGGGAGGCCUGUGGGGGGUGGGCUUCCUCAGGUUCCCUGACCAGAAGAGGCCACCAGACAGAAGGGAUGGAGGACACUGUUGUGUGAACUUGAGAAACAGUGGCAACUUGGACUUGGGUACUGGGGACACUGGGGACGGAGUGAAGUGGACUAUGUGUUUGGAAGAAAUCUGGAGGACAGACUUAACAGCGCUUGGUGUCGGGGAAGGGGAGGGAAGGGGAGGAUACCAUGGAUAAUCUUCCAACUUGGUGGAUGGAGAGGCCCUUUGCAGGAUAAAAAAAUGAAACCAGCCUUCUCACUCUGACCAGUGCAGCCCUGUCACCUUGGAAACAACUUCCAUUUCUUCCUCUGUGAGGAAAAACUUGAGAACUGUCCAGGGGUGUCCCUGUCCCCGAGGUGGCCCAGCACCUGACGCUGAGGAAUUGAAGCUCCAGUGCCCUGGCCUCCCCCUCCAGACUCUUCUCCUCCCUUCCCCAGAUCCGACCUCUCCCUUCUUCUAAUUAUGCCCCAAGUUAUCUUUUAAGGUUCUGUACAUGACAUGGGGUGGGCUCCCAAGUUAGAAGAACCAACUGGACAGCCACUGAUUAUCUCAAUAGUUGAGCUCCCUCCAACCCAAAGGCACAACCACUUACCUCUCCCUCUAGGGCCCCCGGUUCUCAAGGCCCCAAAUCUUGCUUUGUGUCAUGAAGACUUUUUCCCUUGGGGGAGGAGUGGGGGUUUGAUCAGACAAGAGCCUGUGUAUCAGCCCACUGCAUUUUAGUCGAGAUAUGGAUCUGGGCAGCUGUUCAGUGAAUAAGCCAGCAGCCUGAGAUGGGAUGGCAUGGUUCAUCUUACCGGGUCACCCUGCCCAGACACAAGGCGCUGGGGGGCAGGGGGGCGGGCACGGAAAGAUGGCAGAGCCAAAAGAAAAGCUUCUAGAUUAAACAGAGAUCAAAAUCCCAGCACAACAAAGGGACAUCUCUGCGGUCAACCUCCUAGUGUUCUCUGCCUACAGUACUGGGUCAGCGUCAGCAGGGAGCCCACAGCCACCCGGGCACCUCCACAACAUGGACCCCAUUCUGUGCAGGGGCUGGUGCUGGCCACGUUGGUGGUAACAUGCGCUCUCUUAAGCACUGGAUGCAUCCGACUACAUGGGAACCUCACCACCUCCUGUAAAGAGUGCGGGGGGGUGCUAUUUGCCCAUGUUCCACACUAGGAAGUGUGCAAGUCUGCACAAGCAUCACUGGACUCUGUCCACCUGGGAAAGGCCUGCAAUACCACAGCCUGGUGCAUUCCCAGGUAGAGUCCAUCCUGCUGGGCCGUUCAGCAGAGGCUUCUCUUUAGGCCCACUGUCCUCCAGGACAUACCUCCUGAGCCCCUGCCAUCCUGGGUCUGUCUCCUCACCCACAGCACCGCCAGGCUGCACCCACACCCCCAACCCUAGAAUGAGGGAGCCACUUGUGGGCAUCACUUUGCCCUGAUCUCAUUUUGUCACCUCCUCCAUAGCUCAAGGGGAACGACAAAUCACAGGGUUUUCAAAAAAUAUGGCCUUUUAUUGUCUUGGAUGCAAAUAUAGUUUUCAAACUGCAUUGUAGUGUUGAAUACAGCUGGUGGAAAGGUGCUUCUCAACAGCGGAGCAUAAACAGCCUUGCUCUGGAUGGCGCAGGCCUGAGGCUUGGGGCCUCCGGUGAGCAAGACUCUUCUUGGGUUUUGUUUUUCUGCCCACGAGGGGUGACUGUUUGCUACAGAAGCCCUGACACAGUCACCGGAGCUCACAAGAGAAAAAAAUGAACCAUUUACACAAUGAACUGAAAGCAGAAAAAGGAAAAGAACGUGCUGUUUCAGCUGUGGCGUUACAGAAGAAGCCCACAAACACGAGUGUGAACAGAUUCAGAUAAAGCAGCAGCAAGGGCGCCGAGGGAGGGGCCUCGUGCCAGUUCCCUCGGGGACACACAGCCUCGGCUCCAUGUCUCCUACCUUUUAACUGCAGGAAGGAAACUUUAUGGAAAUGUAUCGAACUUCAGUUUCUCCCAACCCUCUCCACCACCUCAACUCUUGAGGAUGGCACCUCUCUGUUCACAUACCCAGGAGAGAAUUCUUCCAAUUAGCGACACCCAGGGUUGACUCUGGAACCAAAAGGUUGACUGGGAGAUAAAAGCGAAUUUUGCUACAUAAUUGUCAAGGUAUUUCACAAAAAUAAAAUCCAUUAAAAACACCCACAAACACGCACACACACACACACACACAGAGCCAACAUUCAACAGGAAAAGUUCCCUUUUCUUUCUCAAAGGCUGAUUUUUACAAGCCUCGACAGGAACGGCCCCCACGUGGUGAGCUGGGAAAGCCAAGGCCUCAAAAGGGAAAGACAAUGGGGCAGGUGAUGGAGGGGGUGUGGGCGCAGCUGGGGGUUCUGGGGCCUGUCUCUGCUCCCAGAGCCCCUCCGCUCCCCAAACCUGCCUGCCCAGCAGGUCAAGGUGAUGGCAACCACGGAAACACGCGUGUUGAAGGUCCAAACUCCUCUACCCCUGCUCUCCUCUCCUGCUGUCUAUGUUCAGAUGUGGUGAAAAUCUUUAAUAUACAAGGCAUCAGGGACAUCGAGCCAAAAACCAUGGCCCACCACUGCUGCGCACCCACCUCAGGGCUCGCCAGCUCCCUUCCUCGUUGUCAAGGCCACUGCAGAGGAAGCACUUUGCAAAGUGGCUCCGACAAGCAGCAGACCGGGCGGGUUUCACCUGCAGCAAAUCAAUCAGCGGAAGCAAGGCAUCUCUAGGGAAAGGCAAUUCCUCCACCAGAGAGAGGAGAGCAGCUAUACUCAGCUUAGUUAGGGGCCUGGGGCCGUGAGAGAGACAAAAGACGCAGGCAGAGCUAGAUGACCAUGGGAGGGGAAGAGCAUAGGGGUGCUGUGCCAAGGCUGCCCA
This 3741-nucleotide long non-coding RNA is filed under the name Sus scrofa (pig). Its description in RNAcentral is "lncRNA (ENSSSCG00060019854.1)". The record is from RNAcentral. Lineage: Eukaryota; Metazoa; Chordata; Mammalia; Artiodactyla; Suidae.